RNAcentral lists this transfer RNA (93 nucleotides) under Nelumbo nucifera (sacred lotus). It matches the Rfam family "tRNA". Rfam says of the family: Transfer RNA (tRNA) molecules are approximately 80 nucleotides in length. Their secondary structure includes four short double-helical elements and three loops (D, anti-codon, and T loops). The record is from Rfam by way of RNAcentral. Lineage: Eukaryota; Viridiplantae; Streptophyta; Magnoliopsida; Proteales; Nelumbonaceae.
GGAUCCUUAGCUCAACUGGUAGAGCACUUAGGAAAUGAAGCUUUUUCUCCAGUACAUCUCAAGAGGAUGGUGGUUCAAAUCCACCAAGAUCCU